GGUUAGACAAAGAAAAUAUGUGCUUUACAUUUUACUGUGAUUUAUUGAGAUAUUUGUUGCCUGAUGUUCAGCAGGAAUGGAGAAAUAGAAUCAAAGGGAGAUGUUUUUGAUGUUUUUGUAAUGAUAUGGGCAGCAUAUCAGUCUUGGACUGUCUAACCUGCAGCACUGAAUGACCACCACACAUGAGCAUGUUCCUGCAACAUUCAGCAUCUGAUCCUUCAUCUGUGUGCUUCUGCUUUUGUGUCACAUGUCAAACAGCUGGAGAGGAAACUACACCAGUGUACUGAGAUGUUUCACCAACACGUGCCAGAUGCUGUUCCUUCAUGGUGACAUCACCAGAGACAGCCCCGCCCACCUCAGGACCUCGCCAUUGAUCAUGAUGAUUAUAAUGAUGACAGCGAGCGGAACUAAGACUGUAAAAAUCCACGACCAGAAUGUUUCUUUCUAAUUAUGAACGAAUAGUGAGAGCCUCUUUCUGUGUUUUGUCUGUUUUGGGUUUUUACCUCAUUUGUUACUAACAAAGUUCACAAACUCACACAGUUUACAUUCUGUAUGUUUCCAUCUUUACCAGACACACUCUAACUGCAUUUAAGAAAAUAAUCCUUAAAAAUCGUCGUUUUUCUCUUUUGUAAUUGAUGAUAAUUCAGUGAAUAUACUGCGCUGCUUCCUUUUAUUGCGUCUCACAUUGCUUUAAGUUUUUCAGUGUCCAGUUAUUUUUUACUGCUGUUUGAAUUCUCUGUAUGUUUGACCCUGUAGACUGUUUGAUGGACUGCUUGUCUUCCUGUUUGUAACCGCCG
Astatotilapia calliptera (eastern happy) is the source of this 797-nucleotide long non-coding RNA. Lineage: Eukaryota; Metazoa; Chordata; Actinopteri; Cichliformes; Cichlidae. The record is from Ensembl.